AGUGAACGCUGGCGGUAGGCCUAACACAUGCAAGUCGAACGGCAGCACAGUAAGAGCUUGCUCUUACGGGUGGCGAGUGGCGGACGGGUGAGGAAUACAUCGGAAUCUACUUUUUCGUGGGGGAUAACGUAGGGAAACGUACGCUAAUACCGCAUACGACCUACGGGUGAAAGCAGGGGAUCUUCGGACCUUGCGCGAUUGAAUGAGCCGAUGUCGGAUUAGCUAGUUGGCGGGGUAAAGGCCCACCAAGGCGACGAUCCGUAGCUGGUCUGAGAGGAUGAUCAGCCACACUGGAACUGAGACACGGUCCAGACUCCUACGGGAGGCAGCAGUGGGGAAUAUUGGACAAUGGGCGCAAGCCUGAUCCAGCCAUACCGCGUGGGUGAAGAAGGCCUUCGGGUUGUAAAGCCCUUUUGUUGGGAAAGAAAAGCAGUAGGUUAAUACCCCGCUGUUCUGACGGUACCCAAAGAAUAAGCACCGGCUAACUUCGUG
Molecule: ribosomal RNA, 492 nt
Filed under: uncultured bacterium
Lineage: Bacteria
Description: partial 16S ribosomal RNA
Rfam family: Bacterial small subunit ribosomal RNA
Source: RNAcentral